GGGUGCUUAGCUCAGUUGGUAGAGCGGCGCUCUUACACGGCGUAGGUCGGGGGUUCGAGCCCCUCAGCACCCACCA
RNAcentral lists this transfer RNA (76 nucleotides) under Variovorax ginsengisoli. Its description in RNAcentral is "tRNA-Val". It matches the Rfam family "tRNA". From Rfam's summary of the family: Transfer RNA (tRNA) molecules are approximately 80 nucleotides in length. The record is from RNAcentral. Lineage: Bacteria; Pseudomonadati; Pseudomonadota; Betaproteobacteria; Burkholderiales; Comamonadaceae. RNAcentral also lists the same sequence under 7 other names.